This 313-nucleotide unclassified non-coding RNA is filed under the name plant metagenome. Its description in RNAcentral is "partial contains 5.8S ribosomal RNA, internal transcribed spacer 2, and large subunit ribosomal RNA". The stretch from base 1 to 105 matches the Rfam family "5.8S ribosomal RNA", at positions 49 to 154 of the family's 154-position model. The record is from RNAcentral.
CGAAAUGCGAUACGUAAUGUGAAUUGCAAAUUCAGUGAAUCAUCGAGUCUUUGAACGCACAUUGCGCCCCCUGGUAUUCCGGGGGGCAUGCCUGUCCGAGCGUCAUUUCUGCCCUCAAGCACGGCUUGUGUGUUGGGCCCCGUCCUCCGAUCCCGGGGGACGGGCCCGAAAGGCAGCGGCGGCACCGCGUCCGGUCCUCGAGCGUAUGGGGCUUUGUCACCCGCUCUGUAGGCCCGGCCGGCGCUUGCCGAUCAACCCAAAUUUUUAUCCAGGUUGACCUCGGAUCAGGUAGGGAUACCCGCUGAACUUAAGC